UCGUGAGGAAUCAAUUGUGAUAAUAUUUGUGGACAGUGAUAUGAUGGAGCAUCUAAUAUGUCUGGGCACAUUAAAGGAGUUCAAACCAUAAUAAUUAGAACACAAUACCCCAAAGCUUUAUAUGUCCACUGUGUGGCACACACUUUAAAUUUAGCUGUAUCUUCUGCUUGCAAUAUCCAACCAAUUAGAAACUGCUAAGGGACAAUUCAAAAAAUAUAUUGUUUUUUCAAUUUUCCUAAACGUCAAAAUGUAAUUUUAACAACAAUUGAUGAAAGUGAUUUGGAACCAAAAAUCAAAACUUUAAAACGUUUAUGUGCCACACGGUGGGUCCAACGAUACGAUGCAAUAAAUGAUUUUGUAGAACUAUUUCCAUAUGUAGUCAUCUCGUUAGAAAAUAUAACUGAGUGGUCUGAUUCAUCUUCUGUGGAUGCUAAGUUAUUGUUGAAGUCAAUGGAUUCCUUAUUUUUAAUAUCUUUACAAAUCAUAAAAGUUUUAUUCUCAUAUGGACAACCUUUAUGUAAACAACUUCAACAGAUAGAAAUUGAUUUAAGAGAAGCUGUUGGAACUGCUGGUGAUAAUGUCAAUGCUCUUAAAUCUCUGAGAAAUAACAUAGAUGUUGAAUUUCAUAAGAUGUUUGUAAAAGCAAAUAAAAUGGCUGAUUUUUUGGAUGUAACGAUUUCAAUUAAUCGUCUGAAUAAGAAACAGUAAAAUCGAGCUAAAUCCUUUAACAUAUGAUAAACAAGAACUUGACCCAGAAACAUAUUUUCGAAUAACUAUAUGUAUUCCAUUUAUUGAUGCUUUCAUAAGCCAAUUGGAAGACAGGUUUUUAGAACAUAGAAAUAUUUUUAAUGGUUUUCAGUGUUUAUUUUCAUAUGAGUUAGAUGAUCCACCAGUUGAAUUAAAUGAGCUAUUGAAAUUUUAUUUCCCUGACAUUGAUAUUGAUACAGUCAGAGCAGAGUUAAAAACGUGGAAUGUUAAACUCAAACGAUUAAAUGUACAACCAAAGAACCAAAGACUGGAUUGGAUGCAUUAAAAUACUGUAAUGAACUUAUUUAUCAUAAUUUGACAAAAUUAUUUUAAAUAUUUUGUACACGUGUACACUGCUACACCUGAAAGGAUGUUUUCAUGUUUGAAAAGACUAAAGACCUACUUAAGGAACACCAUG
Aphis gossypii (cotton aphid) is the source of this 1165-nucleotide long non-coding RNA. RefSeq lists it as uncharacterized. Lineage: Eukaryota; Metazoa; Arthropoda; Insecta; Hemiptera; Aphididae. The record is from RefSeq and is a predicted model, not a curated record. The transcript has 4 exons.